UACGUAGGGUGCGAGCGUUGUCCGGAAUUAUUGGGCGUAAAGAGCUUGUAGGCGGUUUGUCGCGUCUGCUGUGAAAAUCUGGGGCUCAACCCCGGACUUGCAGUGGGUACGGGCAGACUAGAGUGUGGUAGGGGAGACUGGAAUUCCUGGUGUAGCGGUGGAAUGCGCAGAUAUCAGGAGGAACACCGAUGGCGAAGGCAGGUCUCUGGGCCACUACUGACGCUGAGAAGCGAAAGCAUGGGGAGCGAACAGG
This 253-nucleotide ribosomal RNA is filed under the name uncultured bacterium. RNAcentral's name for it is "partial 16S ribosomal RNA". It matches the Rfam family "Bacterial small subunit ribosomal RNA", at positions 524 to 776 of the family's 1533-position model. The record is from RNAcentral.